CUACGGAGGGGGUUAGCGUUGUUCGGAAUUACUGGGCGUAAAGCGCACGUAGGCGGAUUGGAAAGUUGGGGGUGAAAUCCCAGGGCUCAACCCUGGAACUGCCUCCAAAACUAACAGUCUAGAGUUCGAGAGAGGUGAGUGGAAUUCCAAGUGUAGAGGUGAAAUUCGUAGAUAUUUGGAGGAACACCAGUGGCGAAGGCGGCUCACUGGCUCGAUCCUGACGCUGAGGUGCGAAAGCGUGGGGAGCAAACAGGAUUAGAUACCCUAGUAGUCC
Molecule: ribosomal RNA, 274 nt
Filed under: uncultured bacterium
Lineage: Bacteria
Description: partial 16S ribosomal RNA
Rfam family: Bacterial small subunit ribosomal RNA
Source: RNAcentral